This 235-nucleotide unclassified non-coding RNA is filed under the name Basidiomycota sp. RNAcentral describes it as "partial contains small subunit ribosomal RNA, internal transcribed spacer 1, and 5.8S ribosomal RNA". The stretch from base 1 to 47 matches the Rfam family "Eukaryotic small subunit ribosomal RNA", at positions 1785 to 1831 of the family's 1831-position model. The record is from RNAcentral. Lineage: Eukaryota; Fungi; Basidiomycota.
AAAGUCGUAACAAGGUUUCCGUAGGUGAACCUGCGGAAGGAUCAUUACAAAUCCACGUCUCUUUUGAGACAAGUUGAAAUGUUGGAAGAGGGUGCGAGUAAUACAAGGGAAAGAGUUUACUACUCUCUCCCUCUGUUUCUUCACCCUCUAUCCCCCCCUUUAACAAGUGUUGAUCAGUUGUAUAACAACAAAAUACAAACUUACACAACUUAUAACAAUGGAUCUCUAGGCUCUU